CCUAGCUGAGAAGCCCCAUCCACUUCUCCUUAGAGCCUCCAUCAGAGCAUGGCUGUCCUGGUCUUGCUCCUCUGCCUGGUCACCUUUCCAAGCUGUGUCCUGUCCCAGGUGCAGCUGAAGGAGUCAGGUCCUGACCUGGUGCAGCCCUCACAGACCUUGUCCCUCACCUGCACUGUCUCUGGUUUCUCAUUAACUAGCUAUAAUGUACACUGGGUUCGCCAGCCCCCAGGAAAGGGUCUGGAGUGGAUCGGAAUAAUAGCGUAUAAUGGGAACACAGCAUAUAAUUCAGCCCUCAAAUCCAGACUGAGCAUCACCAGGGACACCUCCAAGAGCCAGGUAUUCUUAAAAAUGAACAGUAUGCAACCAGAGGACACAGCCACCUACUACUGUGCCAGAGACACAGUGAAGGAAGUCUAG
This is a non-coding RNA of Grammomys surdaster, 417 nucleotides long. Lineage: Eukaryota; Metazoa; Chordata; Mammalia; Rodentia; Muridae. The record is from the annotation of a RefSeq genome assembly.